This 494-nucleotide ribosomal RNA is filed under the name uncultured bacterium. Its description in RNAcentral is "partial 16S ribosomal RNA". It matches the Rfam family "Bacterial small subunit ribosomal RNA", at positions 28 to 507 of the family's 1533-position model. The record is from RNAcentral.
GACGAACGCUGGCGGCGCGCUUAACACAUGCAAGUCGAACGGAAAUUCCUGCUUUUCCUUGUGGAUUGCUGGUACUCGAGCGGCGAACGGGUGAGUAACACGUGAGUGUUCUGCCCCCAACUUGGGUAUAAGCCUGGGAAACUGGGUCUAAUUCUCGAUAGCAUCGCAGGGUGGUGCCUUUGGUGGCAGACGAUUCUCUAGUGGUUGGGGAUGAGCUCGUGGCCUAUCAGCUUGUUGGUGGGGUAAUGGCCUACCAAGGCGGCGACGGGUAGGCGGGGUGGAAGGGUGGACGGGCACAUUAGAACUGAGCUACAGCCCAGAGUCAUACGGGAGGCAGGAGUGGGGAGUAAUGGACAAUGGGCUGAAGCCUCAACGAGGGACGAGGGGUGGGGGAUGACGGCCCGUGGGUUGUAAUCGCCUUUCGAGCGCGAGGAAGCCACGUGGUUGGAAGGGUGGUGACGGUAGUGGUAGAAGAAGCACCGGCUAACUACGUG